UACGUAGGUGGCAAGCGUUGUCUGGAAUUACUGGGCGUAAAGGAUGCGUAGGCGGAUAUUUAAGUGAGAUGUGAAAUUCCCGGGCUUAACUUGGGAGCUGCAUUUCAAACUGGAUAUCUAGAGUGCGGGAGAGGAGAAUGGAAUUCCUAGUGUAGCGGUGAAAUGCGUAGAGAUUAGGAAGAACACCAGUGGCGAAGGCGAUUCUCUGGACCGUAACUGACGCUGAGGCAUGAAAGCGUGGGUAGCAAACAGG
This 253-nucleotide ribosomal RNA is filed under the name uncultured bacterium. Its description in RNAcentral is "partial 16S ribosomal RNA". It matches the Rfam family "Bacterial small subunit ribosomal RNA", at positions 524 to 776 of the family's 1533-position model. The record is from RNAcentral.